This 1231-nucleotide long non-coding RNA is filed under the name Coffea arabica (coffee). RNAcentral's name for it is "long non-coding RNA (CARA_LNC007056)". Lineage: Eukaryota; Viridiplantae; Streptophyta; Magnoliopsida; Gentianales; Rubiaceae. The record is from RNAcentral.
CUCGCGAACUCGAAUCCAACUAUUCAGUUUAGCAUUACCCAGCCAAGGUAUGUGUUUUACUUGUGGCGGAUGGUACGUAAUUAUCAGGGGGCCACGUGUAUUGUCGGCUGAUGGGUCGACUCACAUGCAAUUGCAAGCUUUUUCGGCGACCGGCGGAUGACCUAUCAACAUUUCUCCCAUCUGUUUUUGGAUUGGAUUGGAUUGGCUUGGAACUGGUAUGUAUCCACUGCAUCCAUCUUGCUCAUACAGUUUGUGUUGGGGUGCUGCCAUUUUAGGCCUCAAAAGUAAAUUAAAGUGUCAACUAAGGGCUUUCUUAAGAGUGAAAAGGUUUCCAAUAAGCCCCUUGAAUGAAAUAAGAAACGCUCCAAUUGACUACUCUCGUUUAGUGCCACUGCCACUAGAGUGAUGUAUGAUGUAGUAUUUUUCCUUUUGCAAUAAAAGUCCACAAAAAAUAAUUAAAAUCCAUCUAAGCCACUCUUUGACUGAUAGUUAGGAUUAGGGUCUAGUACGGCUGCCAGGGGUGGGCAAAAAAGUUCGCUGAUCGAAAAAUCCGUGGAUUCGAUCCGAUUUGCUCAGAAAAAUAGGGUACCCGCUUAUAUGGGAGGUUGGUUUGGAUUAGAGACUAAAAAGCGUAAAUACUCGACAUUCCUCGCUUAUAUAUUUUUAAGUUUUUAUUUUAUGUAUAUGUACAAAAAUAUUAUUUUUAGAGCUAACAAAAUAAUUUUAGAAUUAAUUUUCUAUGUACUGACAGUAUAUACAUUUUCACCAUUAGAUGCAUGAUACAUAAUUCGAAUUUAAAUAUAAAACUCAAAUUUUGCAUGUGUCGUAUAUCCAACUGUGAUAGUGUAUACACCGUCAAUGUAUAUAAGAUUUAAUCAUAAUUUUAUUAAGCAAAUUAUACCCCAAAUAUGAGCACCUAUAAUUUGUUUACAAGAUUCAUUUGUAAAAAUCAUGAACUUAUUUUUUUUUUAGAAAAAGGUUUAAUUGAUGUAGAACAGUACAUAUAAAAAGAUUUCAUUACUUUUGGAUUCUUUUUUCUUAUUAUUCUCUUUACAUGUUUAUUUCUCAACAUGAAACUUUUUUUUGGAUAUUUAUGUUGAAUCUUAGGUAAAUAUAUAAAAUAUAAAAGUAAAUUAGUAUAAAUUAUUUUUAAAAAAAUUAAAUGAUGAGAAAGGCGGGACAAUACCCGAUGAUGAAAUACCCAUUAAUAUGCGGGGCGAAUAAAGUUCAC